RNAcentral lists this unclassified non-coding RNA (401 nucleotides) under fungal sp. RNAcentral describes it as "partial internal transcribed spacer region". The stretch from base 1 to 46 matches the Rfam family "Eukaryotic small subunit ribosomal RNA", at positions 1786 to 1831 of the family's 1831-position model. Lineage: Eukaryota; Fungi. The record is from RNAcentral.
AAGUCGUAACAAGGUUUCCGUAGGUGAACCUGCGGAAGGAUCAUUAACACGUAUCCAAACGUAAAAAACCCCCCCCGUGAACAUUCAAUCCUGCUCUUGUAACCCGCGUAGUUCGCAAUCUCUGGUAAAUCAUAGCCCGGAAAGUAGUUUUGAUUCAGAGACCUCUGGCUACGUGAGAACAUUGGAACAGUUACAAUCGAGCGGUAGCAGUUAGUGUCUGAAAGUGUCACUGAUUGUGCAAGGAUAGCGCUUCAACGAUUCCUGUAGACCGUACACUCGGGCAGGAGCUAUGCCAAAGGGUCCCCAUGCCCCCUUAUAACCCCACAGUUUAAUGUGAAGCUCAAUGUAAUACAUUGGGUAAAAAAACCGAACAACUGUUAACAAUGGAUAUCUUGGUUCUC